This 293-nucleotide antisense RNA is filed under the name Pseudomonas flexibilis. Its description in RNAcentral is "Serpens flexibilis anti ponA RNA". It matches the Rfam family "anti ponA RNA". Rfam says of the family: Transcribed antisense to the penicillin-binding protein 1A gene called ponA. It was identified by RNAseq and the expression was validated by 5' and 3' RACE experiments. AsponA expression was up or down regulated under different antibiotic stress. The record is from Rfam by way of RNAcentral. Lineage: Bacteria; Pseudomonadati; Pseudomonadota; Gammaproteobacteria; Pseudomonadales; Pseudomonadaceae.
AAAAUUGUCGUCCUCCGCAGCCAGCAGGGCGUCGAUGAAAUCGCGGGGGAUGGCUUCGAAUUCGAUAGGCGUUCGCCGCAUUUCGCCGUACUCGGCGAUGAGCUUGCCGUCGCUGCUGUAGAUGCGCAGGGGAAUCUGCAGCUGGAUGCUGCGCAGCGCUUCGACGGAGGGGAGUGUGGGAUUGAUGUAGAGGAAGGCGCCGCUGAGGCUCAGCGCCAGACCGCAUACGACGGCGAAGCCGGACCACACGACGAAUUUCAGCAGGCGAAUCAAGGUGGCGGAUUUCCAGGGUA